AGUUUGAUCAUGGCUCAGAUUGAACGCUGGCGGCAUGCCUUACACAUGCAAGUCGAACGGUAACGGGCCUUCGGGUGCCGACGAGUGGCGGAACGGGUGAGUAAUGCAUCGGAACGUACCUUUCAGUGGGGGAUAACGUAGCGAAAGUUACGCUAAUACCGCAUAUUCUGUGAGCAGGAAAGCAGGGGAUCGCAAGACCUUGCGCUGAUUGAGCGGCCGAUGUCAGAUUAGCUAGUUGGUGAGGUAAAGGCUCACCAAGGCGACGAUCUGUAGCGGGUCUGAGAGGAUGAUCCGCCACACUGGAACUGAGACACGGUCCAGACUCCUACGGGAGGCAGCAGUGGGGAAUUUUGGACAAUGGGGGCAACCCUGAUCCAGCCAUGCCGCGUGAGUGAAGAAGGCCUUCGGGUUGUAAAGCUCUUUCGGCCGGGAAGAAAUCGCAUGGGUUAAUACCCUGUGCGGAUGACGGUACCGGCAUAAGAAGCACCGGCUAACUACGUG
This 501-nucleotide ribosomal RNA is filed under the name uncultured bacterium. RNAcentral's name for it is "bacterial SSU rRNA". It matches the Rfam family "Bacterial small subunit ribosomal RNA", at positions 10 to 507 of the family's 1533-position model. The record is from RNAcentral.